This is a non-coding RNA of Aspergillus nanangensis, 90 nucleotides long. NCBI's taxonomy places the organism in Eukaryota, Fungi, Ascomycota, Eurotiomycetes, Eurotiales, Aspergillaceae. The record is from the annotation of a GenBank genome assembly.
GGGACGGUAGAUCAGUUGGGAGAUCGUUCGACUGAAGAUAACUUCAAUCAGUCCAUCGGAAGGUCCCUGGUUCGAUCCCGGGUCGUCCCA